ACUGGAAACGGUAGCUAAUACCGCAUAACGUCGCAAGACCAAAGAGGGGGACCUUCGGGCCUCUUGCCAUCGGAUGUGCCCAGAUGGGAUUAGCUUGUUGGUGGGGUAACGGCUCACCAAGGCGACGAUCCCUAGCUGGUCUGAGAGGAUGACCAGCCACACUGGAACUGAGACACGGUCCAGACUCCUACGGGAGGCAGCAGUGGGGAAUAUUGCACAAUGGGCGCAAGCCUGAUGCAGCCAUGCCGCGUGUAUGAAGAAGGCCUUCGGGUUGUAAAGUACUUUCAGCGGGGAGGAAGGGAGUAAAGUUAAUACCUUUACUCAUUGACGUUACCCGCAGAAGAAGCACCGGCUAACUCCGUGCCAGCAGCCGCGGUAAUACGGAGGGUGCAAGCGUUAAUCGGAAUUACUGGGCGUAA
RNAcentral lists this ribosomal RNA (419 nucleotides) under Escherichia coli. RNAcentral describes it as "bacterial SSU rRNA". It matches the Rfam family "Bacterial small subunit ribosomal RNA", at positions 149 to 563 of the family's 1533-position model. The record is from RNAcentral. Lineage: Bacteria; Pseudomonadati; Pseudomonadota; Gammaproteobacteria; Enterobacterales; Enterobacteriaceae.